RNAcentral lists this long non-coding RNA (1467 nucleotides) under Anser cygnoides (Swan goose). RNAcentral describes it as "lncRNA (ENSACDG00005005527.1)". The record is from RNAcentral. Lineage: Eukaryota; Metazoa; Chordata; Aves; Anseriformes; Anatidae.
GGGGAAAGCACUGCUUAGUUGUUCUGUGCAGCAGUUUGGAUACCUGUAAACAGGCAUGCAUCCUGCUAAAUGCAUCCGUGGUAAUGAGCUCUUACGUAAUUAAUAUUUCAAGCAUUCCCAUGCUGGAUUGAUAUACUGUAAAUGAACAGUGUCAGAUGACAACGGAAAUUAGAUAAGGAGCAGCUGGAAGUGAUCUGCAUGUAGUUAAGAUCUAGCCCUGCUAGGAAACUGCUUUUAUUAGCAGCAACCUGAAAAAAACUUCAGGGAUUUUCGGAGCGGUGCCUUACCUGCGGGGCGAGAAGGGGGGCUCGUUGUCUGGCUCCCCAGUGCCCAUCAUCAGGACCAGAUCCUUCAUUAGCACCAAGCAGCAUCCUUUGCAGCAUGGUGCCAACCACGUUCGUUAGCUGCUUGUAAUUGGCCCAUGAUUUGGAAAUUGCAUGCAGGAUAUGGGGGCAAAAGAGCUUUUUCUGAAACUCAUGACGAAAUGAGGAACUGGGUAGCUGAGUGCAGGGAUUUGAAUUUCAAGUGUGGAUGCUCUGCUUAAUGAAAGAUAGAAAUGGUGCUAUUGAGAGGAGAAAAGAAAAGAAUUGGAAUUCCACCUGGGGUGAUAAAAGCAAUCUCAGGUUACCCAUAAAUGACGUGAGUAUAAUUUGGCUUUGUGUGUGUAAGGCGUGUUCUGGCAUCCUGUUGGGCACUGGCCAUGGGGUGCAUUGCUGCAGGCCCCUGAGCAGCCGGGAGCGGGGAGCCCUUCUCCACGGGCAGCUCCUCCAGAGGCUUCACCUCCAGUGCUGCUGCGGCAUCUGGCCCGGCUCGCUGCAGCUGGGAGAUGAAAAUUCCCGUGCUCACACUGCCUGUGAGCAUUUUAUUGAUGGUUGCCUAUUCUGAGGGCCGGCACAGCCCCAUGAGGAGCUCUCAAGGUCAGCCCAGGAGGGCUCCGAGGUCUGGCCUCACUCAGGGAGGCGAUUGCUGCAUCACAGUGCACGGGGCGCAGGAGAUGAGCUUUGCUCGCAGGCUCCAAGACAGGAACAGAAAGGAGGUGAGAGGGGAAGAACCCACCCCUAUAAUUAGCUGUGUAAUUAAGCUUCCUCUUGGGCAGGGAGCGCUGGGCCAGUUCUGCCUCCCAUGAAUUGCGGUGACACCUCCGUCACCUCUCACUUAAGAGAAACAAAUCGGUGCCCAGAAGGCUUUCUCCAACAGGGGACUCGGAUACAAAAACAAUUCUUGUUGCAGGCUUAGCAAGUGUAUUUGGGGUUAAAAUGGAUGGAUUUAGCCACUGAUAUGGGAUAGGGGAUUGCCUAGUGAUGCAUGAGGUCCCAACGGGGAAGAGAGAAAGUCUGAAACAAAGCAAAAGUAAUUAAAUAGAGGCAGAGCAGGCAGCACUUCUGCGCUUGAUAAUCUAUGCAAACUACAAGGGUUCUUGUUCGGACAAUCAAUAAACCAGCCCGUUUCAUUUUAUUUUUGUGUGGU